Molecule: ribosomal RNA, 1930 nt
Filed under: bioreactor metagenome
Description: bacterial LSU rRNA
Rfam family: Bacterial large subunit ribosomal RNA
Source: RNAcentral
UCAAGCUACUAAGUGCAAAUGGUGAAUGCCUAGGAGCCGGGAGGCGAAGAAGGACGUGGUAAGCUGCGAAAAGCUGCGGGUAACUGCAAACAAGUACCGAUCCGCAGAUUUCCGAAUGGAGCAAUCCGGCAGUAGUAAUGUGCUGUCAUUUCUGGAUGAAUUCAUAGUCCAGGAAGGCGAACGGGGUGAAGUGAAACAUCUCAGUAACCCCAGGAAAAGAAAAUGAAGAUGAUUCCGUGAGUAGUGGCGAGCGAAACCGGAAGAGCCCAAACCGAAGGGAUUUAUCCUUUCGGGGUUGCGGGACCACGCUAAAGACCAUGAUUGAAGGCGAGCUGAACGUUUUGGAAAGAACGGCCAUAGGGUGUGAAAGCCACGUAAGCGAAGCUGUAGGUCGGUCUGUGGUAUCCCAAGUAAUGCGGUGUAAGUGGAACUCUGCAUGAAUCUGUCCCGACCAUGGGAUAAGGCUAAAUACUACCCGGCUACCGAUAGUGAACAAGUACCGCGAGGGAAAGGUGAAAAGAACCCCUGCUAGGGGAGUGAAAAGAAUCUGUAACCAUUUGCAUACAAAGUGUGGGAGCGCCAAAAAGGGCGUGACCGCCUGCCUUUUGCAUAAUGAGUCUGCGAGUUAUUAUCAGUAGCAAGCUUAAGGGAUGAAGAUUCCGGAGGCGAAGCGAAAGCGAGUGUGAAUAGCGCGAAUAGAGUUGCUGGUAAUAGACCCGAAGCGGAGGUGAUCUACAUUUGAGCAGGUUGAAGCUGUGGUAACACACAGUGGAGGACCGAACCCGUGAACGUUGAAAAGUCCUGGGAUGACUUGAGUGUGGGAGCGAAAGACUAAUCAAACCCCGUGAUAGCUGGUUCUCUCCGAAAUCGCUUGAGGGCGAGUGUUGACUAAGUACUCCAUGGAGGUAGAGCACUGGAUGGCUUAGGGGCCUUACCGGGCUACCAAAACCAAUCAAACUCCGAAUACCAUGGAACCCAUUAUUUCAGCAGUCAGGCAGUGGGGGAUAAGCUUCAUUGCCGAGAGGAAAACAGUCCAGACCGUCAGCUAAGGUGCCCAAACAAGGUUAAGUGGAAAGGAUGUGACGUCGCAAAGACAGUGAGGAUGUUGGCUUAGAGGCAGCCAUCAUUUAAACAGUGCGUAACAGCUGACUCAUCGAGCGAUGCCGCGCCGAAAAUGAUUGGCGAUUAAACCUUGUACCGAAGCUACGGAUUCUCAAAGGCCAAGGUCGUUGAGAGUGGUAGGAGAGCAUAGUUGCAGCAUUGAAGCCAAGGGGAAACCCGAGGUGGAGCACCAACUAGAGAGAAUGCAGACACGAGUAGCGAUAAAUCAGAUGAGAAUUCUGAUCGCCGUAAACCUAAGGAUUCCUGGGGCAGGUUCGUCCUCCCAGGUUUAGCCGGGAGCUAAGGCCAGGCCGUAAGGCGUAGUCGAUGCACAGAAGGUCAAUAUUCCUUCGCCGGGCUGGGGUUAGGUUAAGAUGACGCAAGCACGGGAAAACGGGUUAAGUGACCGGAUUCACAGCGCGGAAUAAUACCCGCGCGCUCCCGCAGACCCCUUGCCAAGAAAAGUCUUAACUACGCUCCCCAGUUCGCCCGUACCGUAAACCGACACAGGUGGGUGAGAUGAGUAUUCUAAGGCGCGCGAGAGAAACCUCUCUAAGGAACUAGGCAAAAUAGCCCCGUAACUUCGGGAGAAGGGGUGCCGUCCGAAAGGACGGCCACAGUAAAGUGAGCUUUGCGACUGUUUACCAAAAGCAUAGCGCUCUGCUAAGUUGUUAAAACAACGUAUAGGGCGUGACACGUGACCAAUGCGAAAAGAUUAAGGCAACUUGUUAGGCGUUUUAGCAAUAAAACGCCGAAGCUCGGAACCCAAGUCCUCGUGAAUGUCGGCCGUAACUAUAACGGUCCUAAGGUAGCGAAAUUCCUUGUCGGG